ACCUGCGGAAGGAUCAUUACCGAAUUGUCAACACGGGUUGUUGCUGGCCCUCGAUGGGGGCAUGUGCACGCUCUGUUUGCAUCCACUCACACCUGUGCACCCUCUGUAGUUCUAUGGUCUGGGGGACCCUGUCUUCCACCUGUGGUUCUACGUUUUUACACACACACUGUAACAUGGUCUUAUGGAAUGUAUGCAGCGUUUAACGCAAUAUAAUACAACUUUCAGCAACGGAUCUCUUGGCUCUCGCAUCGAUGAAGAACGCAGCGAAAUGCGAUAAGUAAUGUGAAUUGCAGAAUUCAGUGAAUCAUCGAAUCUUUGAACGCACCUUGCGCCCUUUGGCUAUUCCGAAGGGCAUGCCUGUUUGAGUAUCAUGAACACCUCAACUCUCAUGGUUUGCCGUGAUGAGCUUGGACUUUGGAGGCUUUGCUGGCCUGUGGCCCGGCUCCUCUGAAAUGAAUUAGCCUACCAGUGUAUGGUGGCAUCACAGGUGUGAUAAAUAUCUAUGCUUGUGGUUGUCUGCCAGGCGACCUCCUGUAUUGGAGGUUUGCUGGGGCUCAUAAAUGUCUCCUCAGCGAGGACAGCUUUCUGAACGUUUGAUCUCAAAUCAGGUAGGACUACCCGCUGAACUUAAGCAUAUCAAUAAGCGGAGGA
RNAcentral lists this ribosomal RNA (651 nucleotides) under uncultured Thelephoraceae. Its description in RNAcentral is "eukaryotic LSU rRNA". The stretch from base 217 to 371 matches the Rfam family "5.8S ribosomal RNA". The record is from RNAcentral. Lineage: Eukaryota; Fungi; Basidiomycota; Agaricomycetes; Thelephorales; Thelephoraceae.